GAUGAACGCUAGCGGCAGGCUUAAUACAUGCAAGUCGUGGGGCAGCAUGAGUAGCAAUACUUGAUGGCGACCGGCAAACGGGUGAGGAACACGUACACAACCUUCCUUCAAGCGGGGAAUAGCCCAGAGAAAUUUGGAUUAAUACCCCAUAAUAUAUUUGAUAAGGCAUCUUAUUAAUAUUAAAGCUUCGGCACUUGAUGAUGGGUGUGCGGCUGAUUAGAUAGUUGGCGGGUAACGGCCCACCAAGUCUACGAUCAGUAGCUGAUGUGAGAGCAUGAUCAGCCACACGGGUACUGAGACACGGGCCCGACUCCUACGGGAGGCAGCAGUAAGGAAUAUUGGACAAUGGACGAAAGUCUGAUCCAGCCAUGCCGCGUGAAGGAUUAAGGUCCUCUGGAUUGUAAACUUCUUUAUAUGGGACGAAAAAAGGGCAUUCUUGUUCACUUGACGGUACCAUAUGAAUAAGCACCGGCUAACUCCGUGCCAGCA
Molecule: ribosomal RNA, 489 nt
Filed under: uncultured bacterium
Lineage: Bacteria
Description: bacterial SSU rRNA
Rfam family: Bacterial small subunit ribosomal RNA
Source: RNAcentral